CGGCGACGGGUGAGUAACACGUGGAUAACCUACCUAUAAGACUGGGAUAACUUCGGGAAACCGGAGCUAAUACCGGAUAAUAUUUUGAACCGCAUGGUUCAAAAGUGAAAGACGGUCUUGCUGUCACUUAUAGGUGGAUCCGCGCUGCAUUAGCUAGUUGGUAAGGUAACGGCUUACCAAGGCAACGAUGCAUAGCCGACCUGAGAGGGUGAUCGGCCACACUGGAACUGAGACACGGUCCAG
RNAcentral lists this ribosomal RNA (243 nucleotides) under uncultured Staphylococcus sp. RNAcentral's name for it is "partial 16S ribosomal RNA". It matches the Rfam family "Bacterial small subunit ribosomal RNA", at positions 102 to 334 of the family's 1533-position model. The record is from RNAcentral. Lineage: Bacteria; Bacillati; Bacillota; Bacilli; Caryophanales; Staphylococcaceae.